This 267-nucleotide long non-coding RNA is filed under the name Lathyrus oleraceus (garden pea). Its description in RNAcentral is "Pisum sativum (pea) long non-coding RNA (PSAT_LNC007291)". Lineage: Eukaryota; Viridiplantae; Streptophyta; Magnoliopsida; Fabales; Fabaceae. The record is from RNAcentral.
UGACUUGAAGAUGAGGAUGUUAACUCUAAUUUAUUUUAUGUUUCAGUCACAUAUUAAAAAAAAAGAGGAACAAAAUUGAGAAGAUCCAGUACAAGAGAGAUGAAUCAGUUAGUGGGUGGCUCUUUCUGCCAACUUAAAAUGAAACCAAUAUUAAUAUAAUUCCAAAAACAGAUAAUUUGGCAUCCUUGAAAUAGUGUUGCUUUAUUUUUCUAUGUAAUGUGUUGUAUUAUGUGAUAUUAAAGUCCUUGCCAACUUUAUUAAAAAAAG